UAGUCCACGCCGUAAACGAUGUAUGCUUGGUGUUAGAACAAAUUGUUGUUCUAGUGCCGGAGAUAAUUCGUUAAGCAUACCACCUGGGAAGUACGAUCGCAAGGUUGAAACUCAAAGGAAUUGACGGGGGCCCGCACAAGCGGUGGAUUAUGUGGUUUAAUUCGAUGCAACGCGAAGAACCUUACCAACCCUUGACAUCCUCAUCGAGAUUUCUGGAGACAGAUUUCGUCAGUUCGGCUGGAUGAGUGACAGGUGCUGCAUGGCUGUCGUCAGCUCGUGUCGUGAGAUGUUCCGUUAAGUCGGAUAACGAGCGCAACCCUUACCCUUAUUUGCCAGCGAUUCGGUCGGGAACUAUAAGGGGACUGCCGGUGAUAAACCGGGAGGAAGGUGAGGACGACGUCAAGUCAUCAUGGGCCCUUACGUAUAGGGGCUACACACGUGCUACAAUGGAGAAUACAGACGGACGCUAAGCCG
This 474-nucleotide ribosomal RNA is filed under the name uncultured bacterium. RNAcentral's name for it is "bacterial SSU rRNA". It matches the Rfam family "Bacterial small subunit ribosomal RNA", at positions 791 to 1257 of the family's 1533-position model. The record is from RNAcentral.